Molecule: long non-coding RNA, 9680 nt
Organism: Antechinus flavipes (yellow-footed antechinus)
Lineage: Eukaryota; Metazoa; Chordata; Mammalia; Dasyuromorphia; Dasyuridae
Exons: 2
Source: RefSeq, a predicted model, not a curated record
UUUAAAGGAGAGAGAGUAUCAAAAGAUCAGCACGUUGCCUGCAUAGAAGCCAAAAAGAGGGGAGAAAUACAGCCACACACACGCACGCACACGCACGUUAGGGCCCGUAUAGAGCAAGCCCUGGGGACUCGAACGACAGCAAUCUGCAAAUAGCUGAGCUGGUUUCCCCCGGCGCCCCGGCUCCGGCUCUCCCAGAGCCCCGGGGCACACGCGCGUGCAUGGGACAGACUCGCUUUAGAGUUGGGGAGCGCUAGGCUACAGAAGACAAAGUAGCGCUUCUGACCCGGGGAGGGUCUCGCUGAUCGCACGUGUGUGCGAUCUCGGGCGUUUGGAUGCUAGUCUUGUUCAGCUAACCGGCUGCUGAGCCUUCCCCCGGUCACGUAGCAAAGACCGUGACUCAGCGCUGACUCACUGAAUUCCCUGCCAAUGGAUUUCCCCCGGCAGUCAGCUGCUCCAUCUCAGCCUAUCCUGGAAAAAGACAAAGACUUCUCGGUUGCUUUGUAGCUCAGAGCUCGGUUGCUAGUCCCUUGGUCAUCUCUGCCUUAGCAACAUAGCAGCUCGAGGAUUUCACGGCCAUUCCACCCCCAACAAGUAAUGGAUUGACUUUGCGCUAUUUUCUUUGCAAAGUCUUGUUUUAGCGAGGGAGCUAAAUGAGCCCAUUAGUCAAAAUUCCUUCGUCACAAGCCGCUUUAAUAAAUCAAGGACUUCUUUGACAAGGACUUGUUCAUAACCCCAGUGCACACUUGGUUUCCUGCCGCACUAAAAACCCUCAUCUUGUUUUAGUCCUGCAUUUUAGGAGGUUGUGUGCAAUGAGUUUGAUAACGAACCCUGGCACAUAAUGAUGAUUAUAAUGACGCAAAUGAGGUUUGCACUUGGCAUCGUGCACUGGCACGAGUGACUUACAGUAAAAGUCAGGAACGCUUUUGGAAGGACGAGCUGCAAUGUCACCCUCUGAAUUUUGGACAUGGAGAACAGCUGUGUAUCAUUGGUGGAUGAGGACUCUGCUGUAUUAAGUUACAUGAGUCUUAAAGGCAAAAUGCUGAUUGCUCUGAAGUAGUAUUUUCUAAAACCGACUUUGCAAUAUAUUUGCUUUCAUUUCCUGUGUAAGGCAAUCACUAAGCUUAAUUUGUUUGUGCAUAAUGUUGUGUUUGCUUUAAAUGGAUAUCAAUGUAUCCAGGUUUGGUAAUUGGUACUUUUGGAGAAAUGGAAGGUGAUGCUCCCAUCGGGAUUUUCUCCUCUAAUCACUAUAACAUAUUCAUUAAUUAAAAAGUAGUUGGCAAUAGCGGUUGGUUUGGAGCCAGGGAAACCCGAGUUCAAAUCUAUCUUAAGACUAGCUAUAUGACUUUGAGCAAGUUAUUUAAAUUCCGUUUUCCUUAGUUUUCUUUUAUGUAAAAUGGGUAUAAUAACAGCAUCUACUUUCCAGGAUUGUUGAGGGGAUCAAAUGAUGUAAUAUUUUUAAAGUCCUUAACAGUACCUAGCACAUAGUAGAAACUGUACAAAUGCUAGCUAUUAUUAUUAUUACCUGCUACUGAGAAUAUUUUACCUCUCUCUAUGCAAUGUUUCUUUAAAAAUCAUUAUUUCUAAAGUUAAACUGAUAAGAUCUUAUUAACAGAGAGCAGAAAAAAUAAUUAAGUUGAUCUACAGGUAUAUAUUUCCAGAAAGCAAAUGAAUUGAAAAGAAAAAUGAAAAGGCUAUGGAUAUUUAAAAUACCUUUUUUAAUAGAGCGAGGCAAAAGGAAAUUUUCAUAACACAUUUAUGUUUGAGUUUGUUUUGUAAAUUAUCUUUGUUUUUUGUGGAUAUUUAACACUCUAAAUAUUUUUAGCUGGAAGUUUUUCUUCUGAAUAUUCGAACAAGUUGGAAGAGUGUUGGCCCAGAUGUGAGAAAAUUCCACUGAUGAUAGUGGAGUUGGGCAGGCAGCAAAAGUAGCAAAUGAGAGAUAUUUUUUCAGUCCAAAUCCAAAUUAACUGGACUCAUAGAAUCUGUCCCCUGAGAGAAAAAGAUAUAGAGAUAAGGUUCAAAAGAACAUGAAGUAGAAGAGUAUCUGGGAGAAAAGGCAGUCACUAAUAGAAGUGAAGAGUAUUUUAAAAAUCUAAAUGAACUUGCUCACUUUGAUACUUUAGAAAAAUGUUAUUUCAUUGUUAUUAGGUAUCGAUUCACAGAUGCCAAUUGUUACUCUUCCAUCUUUUUCAUCCUAUGUGAUUUUUGUACUUUUCCCUCCCUGAGAUAUCCUCCAUAGAGAAAAUCAGCUUAGUUGCCGAAGGUCUUAAUCUAAAAUUUCUUUAGAUCAUUGGGUCCUUAUCAUUAAGGUAUCCUUAAUCCUCCACAUAGUGGCCAAAUUAAUCAUUCUGAAAUGAAAAUUUGACAAAAUUCCCAGCCAGACAUUUAGAAUCCACAAUAAUCUACCUUUGCAAUCUUCUUUCAUGUUAUUCCCUUUCAUGUACUUCCCUUAUAAUCAAAUCGACUUGCUAGCCUUUUUCCCUACAUUACACUCCAUCCCCUACCUCCUAUCCAAGUACAAGUUGUACAAGUUGUCUCUCAGUCUGUAAUGUAUUCCCUUUUUAUUCCCUCUUGGAUUCCCUACCUUUCAUCAAAACUCAGCUCAGGUACCACCUCCUACAUUAUUCUUUCCUGAUUCUGACAUCCAAGUUGUUCUCUCCCUUGAAAUUACUAUGUACUGCUUUGUAUUUCUUUUAUAUUUCCUGACAUGUAUAAGCUAAUUUGGGCAGAGAGGUGAUAAGGUUCUGGGCCUAGAGUCAGCAAGACCUGAAUUCUAAUGUGACCUCACACACUUAAUAGUUGUGUGACCCUGGGCAAAUCACUUUACUUCAGUUGCUCAUCUGGCAAGAGAGCUGGAGAAGAAAAUGGCAAACCACUCCAAUAUCUUUGCCUAGAAAACUCCAAAUGGGAUCACAAAGAGUUGGACACAACUGAAAACAACUGAACAUGUUGUUAUGUGACAUGAAUAAAGAACUUAUUUAGACAGCUCCUCAUAAAUACAUACAUACAUACACACAUACAUAUAUCUUUCAUCUCUCCUAUAUAAAUACACAGUGUUUAAAACUGCCAAAUACAGACUAUUCAAUAAAUUAUUCUUGAGUUGGAGAUACUGACUAAAUAUUGAAGGAAGAAGAGAGGCAGUGAUAGAUCUAGUUCUUAAUGCAAAAACUCCCUCCACCAAUGUUGAUCAGCUGUUGUUUUUUUAUUUAAAAAUCUUAGAGAAUUAUUUGAAGCACUAUUGUGUUUAGUCACUUGGCCAAGGAUGUGCCAGGGCAAACUUCAUAGCACUUGAAGUCAAAUCAUUCAUAAUUCACAAACAAUUCUUUACAAUGCCACAGCUGCCUCUUUAAAUGAUUUUUUACCAUUUUGAGAUUUCAGAUGCAAACUAAAACUCUGCCAUCAAAUAUUUUUACAACAAAAUUUAAACUCUAAUUAUGAAAUAGAAAAACAAAAUCAAUUACAAAAAAUAUCAUCUGCUACUGGGAAAUGAAUAUAAACUGCUUGCAUUUUUGUUUUUCUUCCCGUGUUAUUUAUACCUUCUGAAUUCAAUUCUCCCUGUGCAACAAGAAAACCGUUUCGUUCUGCACACAUAUAUUGUAUCUAGGAUAUACUGCAACCCAUUCAACAUGUAAAGGACUGCUUGCCAUCUGGGGAAGAGGUGGAGGGAGGGAGGGGAAAAAUCGGAACAGAAGUGAAUGCAAGGGAUAAUGCUGUAAAAAAUUACCCUGGCAUGCGUUCUAUCAAUAAAAAGUUAUUUAAAAAAAAUAUCAUCUGCUGUUUGAAACAAAAGCUGUAGUGAAGGGACAAGUUGAGAUGGGAAAGGAUCUAGGUUCUUAUAUGAUCUAUGACUAGAGAAGAAUGAGAGUAGCGCCAGGAGAGUUGGGUAAGGUGAUUUACAAAUUGGUACCAUCUGUGACUACCUAAUGGCAGCAUCAAGAUGGUAGAGUAACUGAUUACUAGACUUUACACAAACUAUAUUUCCAGGAAAUUAAUCUUACCUUCUUCAAGGGUUAAAAAAAAGUUCCUCUGGAUGAUUUUAGCUGUGUUUUCUAGCUCUUAGCAAAGUUCUAUGCUUCAAAGCUAUUACCAUCCGCCCUCCUUUUUUUUUCUAAUCAAGCCAAACUGCUAAAAGUUAGAAAAGAAACAUUUGUUAAGCACCCAUUAUGUGUCAGCAAUUUUGCUGUGUUCUGGGGAUAUAGAAACAAAAAUGAAAAAGUUAAGAGAUUAUGGGGACAGGAUUGGGAUUGGGGUGAGGGGAGAUUCCAAAUACAAAAAAAAAAAAAAAAAAAAAAAAAAACUACAAAUCAAUUUGGGAAUCUGGAAAGCUCUCCUGUAAGGAGUAGCAGUUGAGAUAAUGCUAGAAGGGACCAUAGAAUUUCCCAGAGCCAGUGGUGAGAAGAGAGAGCAUCUCAUUCUAGAAGAUAGGAGAUAAAAUAUUUUGCCAGGAAUGUUAAAUAAAUUAUUUUGGCAUGAGAAAGAGAAAUGUCAAAUUAGUCUAGAAAGAUAGGUUGGAGUCAGAUUGUGAAGAGUAUUAAAUGCCAAAAAAAAAAAGAGUUUUCAUUUUUCCUAGAGACAGUGAGGAGGGAGUCACUGAAACUUCUUGAGCAGAUUCUUAUAGACUCAAAUUGUCUUCAUAUUGACUCUCUCUCUCUCUCUCUCUUACAGUGUUUCUGUGAUGUUUGAUAAUUGAGUAGAUUAAGGAAAGGUAUUUCUGUUUCUAAUUGGAGAUAGGGUACCAAGGGACUCACUGGACAUUCAGAAGUAGAAGUUUUUUUUUGGUUUGGGGGGGUUUUGUUUUUGUUUUGUAGUGUUGCUUUCAGUUUUUUCAGUUCAGUCAACCCUUGGUGACUCCAUUUGGACUUUUCUUGACAGAUAAUGAAAUUCUAGAGUGGUUGGCCAUUUCCUUUUCUAGCUCAUUUGACAGAUGAGGAGCUGAAGCAAGCAGGGUUAAAUGAUUUGCCCAGAAUCACCCAACUAAUAAGGUUCUAAGGUCGGAUUUGAACUCAGGAAGAUAAGUCUUUUUGACUGGAGAUCCAGAACUCUAUUCACUGUACUACCUAACUGCCCAAGAAGUUAGACUUCUCAUUUGGCAAAAAGUUGGUUUCAUCCCAUAGGUACAAUAAUUAACCUACAGUAGAAACUAUGUCAGUUAGUCAACAAGUAUUUUAUGUGUAUCAGAGAAACUGCUAAACAUUGUGGAUACAAUGAAAAGGGGGAAAAAAUUUAGUCACGGCAGUCAAGUAGCUUACAUCAUAAUGGUAGAGACACAUGUAAACAACUCUGCAUACAAGAUAGAUGCAGACAGAAAGCACUUAGAGACAGGAAAACAUUAGCAGCUGCACGAGACUGAACCUCCUUUCCUUAAGAUUUGAACUGAGGCUUGAAAGAAGUCAGGAAAACUGAAAAGCAGGGAGAGAGAGAAAGAAAAUCCUUCUAGGCAUGGGGCUCAGCUCCUGGGAAUGCUAUUUUUUCUUUUUACCAUAGAAUAUUUUUGUUCUUUUUUUCCUUUUGAUUCCAAGACCACAAUUUUUUAAACCUAACAUUCAUAUCAUUCCCAAAACAGACUCAGGUCAUUGUUCUGGCUUCAUGGACCUUUUUCUUUUGGAGUUUGCAUCUUGGUUUAAGCAACCACCCUCAGAAUCUUUCUCUUUUCUUUAUGUCUGAUGGUCAAAACCAUUUUUAGGAGUCAAGAUAAUAUCUGCCUAUUUCACUCCCUCUCCUACCCUGCCUUCCCUUUCCCCUCCCCCCUCCCAUGGCUACCUUAGCUAAAAAAAACAAAGGUCCUCAGCAAGGGUCUCUGCUUAAAGCUCUCUGCUGCCCCCGACUGGAUCCUGGCUGCUAUAGCUUUCAUGGCCCCUUAAGUUCUGGGUUCCUUUCAGGAUACAAUAGUCUUAGAGUACUAUUCCUGUGAAGUUAUUCACUAAAAUACUCCUGCUUGGAAACAGGAUUGAUAAUAAUGAGGUGAGACUGCAUUAGACUGGAAAAAAUAUACAUGCACAUAUUUUUGGAGUGAGGAGCUGGAAUUUGCAGGGGCAGGCUAAAUAAUUUGUCAAUCCUUAAUAACCCACUCUAGCCAGUAAAUAGAAUGUACUGAGCUCUCCAAGACAGGGGUUGGAUUGAUCUACCUGUAACAAAAUUCCUACCUUUUAAGAAGGUAGUUUCAUUAUUUAAAUAUAAAAGAACAAGAAAACCAAAGUAAGACAUUCCUAUUUAACCAUCUAUUCUAAAGACAAGUGUUUUAAAAGAUAGUGGUCUCUACAACUUUUCACAGGACUUGUUUUCUUACUAAAAUAUUACUGUGUGACAUUAGUCUUCCUAUUUAUAGAACAGUUCAAUGACUCAUUUUGUGCAUUUAAAGAGUUUAAUGAGGAUUUCCAGGUCUGUAAGAGCUGUGGGUCCCAUUAAUAGCUCCUUCACAUUAGGUUAUACUCUUUUCUGAUAGUACUGAUAUUCCAAUGAUUUUGUUAUAAUUCCAUCUUGUGGAUAGCAUUGAUGUUAUGUUAAAAAAUAAAAUUUGUUCUUUAGUCUCUUGGGAUCUUCAUUGACCUAAGAUUUAUGUCCUAAUAUCCUUUGACUAGCCAAAAAAAAAGGCUAGUGGUAUUAUUUGGUGCAAAUAAUAAAUUCCUCAAUUGUAACCCAUCGAGAGGAAGGAAAGAAUAUAAUUUUAUUUCUUUUACUCUAAAAUUAUGCUCAUUAAAAAUGUUUGCGGAAGAUUCCAGUAUCUCUACCUAGAACAGAGAUGUUACUGGUACAUUUACUAUCACAUAAUAUCCUAUAGAAUUUAUUCUGUUUUGAGAAGUAUUGUAUGCUUAAUCCAAUUUUUAAAGUUCCUAUGGACAGUUGAGUUCUUUGAAAAUAGACCCAUUUCCCAUUCAAACUCUAUUAAUCUUCUGUCCCAUGCAAACAACAGGUGCUUUAGAAAAUAGCCAAUAGAGAGACAAUAAUUCUUGUCCUUCAGGACCAGUGCCAAUGGAAAAAAGUGACCUGAAGUGCAGAUCUCAGGCCUGACAUGAUGAAAAUCUAAUGCCACAGCUGUUUUCUCUCAGAACUGUCACUCAUCAUGUUUUAAUUUCACAGUUUUGAAUUAAUCUUUUCUAAAUACGGCACCAGAGGGAGGUGGACGAGAUAGCAGUUCCCAGCAAAGGAAUGAGGCCACUAUUUGCAAAGUUCCUGCUCUCUCUUGCUGUCUCUUCUCCUACCCCUAGACUCUCUUGCCCUGCCAUUUUGAAUUUUAUUUUUUGGGAUCUUUGUGGUCUUGUAAUACUUUUGUUUAUAUUUGUACAGGGCAGAGGUCUAAACAAGCUCAAAAGCCUAAUUGUUUUGAAGGAUUGCUGAUUCAACUUCCUUCUUAUGCCAUCUCAGGAUAUAUUCUUAGAUUUUUCUAUCUUUGAUUACCUAAUAAAAGAUACAUUUGGUAAAAAAAAAAAAAAUGGUUCAAAAUUUGUUAGCAUUGUAUUUAUCUAGGCUUAUAUAUUUCAGUUUUUGCAGGCCACAGGUAUAGAUUAUAGAAUUUUAGAGCUACAAAGAACAUAAAAGUUCACCUAUUUCAGCCCCUCCAGUCACUUCAAUCAACAAGUAUUAGACAUUUACUUUGUGCCAGGCACGGUGCUAAGUAAUCACUGGGGAAUCAAGGAAAGGGAGAAACAGUCCUUGCCCUUCGAAGAGCUUACAUUCUAAUGGGGAGAGACAAGAUGAAAAUAAAUAGAUAUAUAACAGGAACAUGCAGAACUGAUGAGAAAAGUGGGCGUCAGAGAGCUUGAGCAAUUUUCAAAUGUCAUAGUCACCAAGUGGUAGAAUUGGGGUUAUCUACAACCUAUGCUUUCUCAUGAAACUAUCUUUUUUGUACCUGAUAUUUCUAAAGUAUUAUGUUACCACUUAUAUAUUUCUGAGUCAGUUGGAAUUAGAUUAAAUUCAUUGGAGAGAUUGUGCCACAUGUGGUCAUUUAUACAGUGCCUCAAAUAUCCAAUUUCUAUUUUUAAAAAAUGAUACCAUGUUCUUCUUUUCAAAAUGUAAUUUUAGGAUAAAAUCUUAAUGACUAAAAAUAUUCUUAACACUUUUGGAGAAAAAGUCUAUGAAUCCAGUAGAAAUUUUCAGAUCUUAUAAUAAGGAACUGAAUCAAAGAGAAUGGAAGAAAUAUAAGAGAAUUAAUUCAGGGAAGAACGAAAACAGAAAUUUCAUUAUGUGAAUGGCAAAACUGGAAGAAAAAUUGAGAUUGAGGUUUCAGGAUCCUUGGAAAUCCAACCAAUUUUUAACUAAUUGUUACUCACAGCUCAGUAUUCUUGUCUCUUUCUGACUUGAUUACUGUCAAAAUUUUAUUUGCUACAAAGAUUAUGUCGUUAGCAGUCUCCACUGGCACAGGCAGCUUCUGAACUGAGAGCUGAUAAAAUAACAGACUUUGGGGAAAACAUCAACAAAACCAAGCCCCCAAAUGAAAACAGAAACAUUACAUCAUCUUUGCUAAAUGUACCAGCUUCUAUAAAGACAAAAAUAUUUGUACUGACUAAUUAAAUAAUAAAAGUUUAAAAAUUAAGAAUAAGGCAAUACUAAUUGUAAUAUCAAUAUGAGUUGCUGUCGACAAUUAUUGUCUUUAUAAUUCACAGCUGUCACUGCAUUGUUACACUGUCCUAAAAUAUUAAACGAUUCCCUAUUGUUAAAUUCAAUUAAAUUCAUUUUAACAAAUUUUACAACAAAAAUUAAGUUCAAUUCAACAAAUAUUCAUUAGGAACCUAGUAUGAUUAGUAGAGCAUACUAGACUCUUAAAUUAACCUCAAACCAAGGGUUACUAAUGGGUUCAGUAGUUCGCUCUUUGGUAUUCCUUGAUCAUUUACCUUCUUGCUUUUUACUUUUGCCUAGAAUGCUCUAGUUCACCUAUUAAAUCCUUCCCCUUUGCUUAAAUGCUCAACUGCUCUCCCUUUUAAGGUGUCUUCCCACAUCCUGUCAGUUGAAAGAGCUCUCUACCUCCUCUCCAAUAGCACUUUGUACUCUUUUUAUGUGAUUAUCAUUUUUGAUUUUCUGAGUUAGUUACAUGUGUAUGUCAGCCCUCUGAUUAAAACAUAAAUUCUUUGAGGAUGGGGAUUAUGCAUUUUUCCCCCUAAAUUAGCCUUAGUAUCCAGUAUAUGAAUACUCAUUUAGCAUCUUUGCUGAAUGAAUGGAUGAAUUAUUUUUCUUUUAUUUGUAACAAUAUUCUGGACUCAUACUUCCAGUGUCAAGCUGGGUCUGUAGAACAUGGCUUCUACUUGUCUCCUCAGAGUUCUACCUGGUAAUUUUGAGGAGUUGUUUAUCCCCAUUAGUAACUAUAGCUAUAACCAUAACUUAUAUAGUUAUAUGUAAUCAUAUACAUAUAUAUAUAUACACAUAUUUAUACGUACAAGCUUACCUUAUUUUAUUGUGCUUUUCUUCAUUGCUCUUUGCAGAUUUUUUGUUUUUGCUUUUACAGAUUGAAGGUUUGUGGCAACCCUAGGUCAAGUAAGGCUAUUGGCUCCAUUUUUCUAACAGCAUGUGCUCACAACAUGUCUCUGUGUCACAUUUUGGUAAUUCUCGCAUUAUUUCAAACUUUUUCAUAAUAUCCAUUAUGGUGAUUUGUAAUCAGUGAUUUUUUUUUUAAUAAACAUUUAUUCUUUUUUAAAUUAAAGCUUUUUCUUUUCAUUUUUUUCCUUUAUUAAAGCUUUUUAUUUUUCAAAACA